CCUACGGGGGGCAGCAGUGGGGAAUAUUGCACAAUGGGGGAAAUCCUGAUGCAGCGACGCCGCGUGAGUGAAGAAGUAUUUCGGUAUGUAAAGCUCUAUCAGCAGGGAAGAAAUAGCGACCUUUGGGUCGCCAGACGGUACCUGACUAAGAAGCCCCGGCUAACUACGUGCCAGCAGCCGCGGUAAAGAGUAGGGGGCAAGCGUUAACCGGAUUUACUGGGUGGAAAGGGAGCGUAGACGGCAGCACAAGUCUGAAGUGAAAUGCCGGGGCAUAACCCCGGAAUUGCUUUGGAAACUGUGCAGCUAGAGUGCAGGAGAGGUAAGUGGAAUUCCUGGUGUAGCGGUGAAAUGCGUAGAUAUUAGGAGGAACACCAGUGGCGAAGGCGGCUUACUGGACUGUAACUGACGUUGAGGCUCGAAAGCGUGGGGAGCAAACAGGAUUAGAUACCCCAGUAGUC
RNAcentral lists this ribosomal RNA (458 nucleotides) under uncultured bacterium. RNAcentral's name for it is "partial 16S ribosomal RNA". It matches the Rfam family "Bacterial small subunit ribosomal RNA", at positions 338 to 795 of the family's 1533-position model. The record is from RNAcentral.